UACGUAGGGUGCAAGCGUUGUCCGGAAUUAUUGGGCGUAAAGAGCUCGUAGGCGGUUUGUCGCGUCGAAUGUGAAAACCCAGGGCUUAACCCUGGGCUUGCAGUGGAUACGGGUAGACUAGAGGCAGGUAGGGGAGAAUGGAAUUCCCGGUGUAGCGGUGAAAUGCGCAGAUAUCGGGAGGAACACCGGUGGCGAAGGCGGUUCUCUGGGCCUGACCUGACGCUGAGGAGCGAAAGCGUGGGGAGCGAACAGG
Molecule: ribosomal RNA, 253 nt
Filed under: uncultured bacterium
Lineage: Bacteria
Description: partial 16S ribosomal RNA
Rfam family: Bacterial small subunit ribosomal RNA
Source: RNAcentral